CAGCAGCCGCGGUAAUUCGGAGGGUGCGAGCGUUGUCCGGAAUCACUGGGCGUAAAGGGCGCGUAGGCGGCUUCUUAAGCGUGCGGUGAAAGCUCGGGGCUCAACUCCGAGUCGGCCGUGCGAACUGGGAAGCUGGAGCACAGUAGAGGCGGGUGGAAUUCCGGGUGUAGCGGUGGAAUGCGUAGAGAUCCGGAAGAACACCGGUGGCGAAGGCGGCCCGCUGGGCUGUGGCUGACGCUGAGGCGCGACAGCGUGGGGAGCAAACAGGAUUAGAUACCCUGGUAGUCCACGCCGUAAACGAUGGGCACUAGGUGCUUGGGGGAGCGACCCCCUGAGUGCCGGCGCUAACGCAUUAAGUGCCCCGCCUGGGGAGUACGGCCGCAAGGCUGAAACUCAAAGGAAUUG
RNAcentral lists this ribosomal RNA (405 nucleotides) under uncultured soil bacterium. RNAcentral's name for it is "bacterial SSU rRNA". It matches the Rfam family "Bacterial small subunit ribosomal RNA", at positions 509 to 912 of the family's 1533-position model. The record is from RNAcentral.